RNAcentral lists this ribosomal RNA (447 nucleotides) under uncultured bacterium. RNAcentral describes it as "partial 16S ribosomal RNA". It matches the Rfam family "Bacterial small subunit ribosomal RNA", at positions 29 to 523 of the family's 1533-position model. The record is from RNAcentral.
AACGAACGCUGGCGGCAGGCUUAACACAUGCAAGUCGAGCGCCCCGCAAGGGGAGCGGCAGACGGGUGAGUAACGCGUGGGAAUCUACCCUGAUCUGCGGAAUAGCUCCGGGAAACUGGAAUUGAUACCGCAUGUGCCCUGAGGGGCAAAGAUUUAUCGGUUCAGGAUGAGCGCGCGUCCGAUUAGAUAGUUGGUGGGGUAAUGGCCUACCAAGGCGACGAUCGGUAGCUGGUCUAAGAGGAUGAUCAGCCACAUUGGGACUGUGACACGGCCCAAACUCCUACGGGAGGCAGCAGUGGGGAAUAUUGGACAAUGGGCGCAAGCCUGAUCCAGCCAUGCCGCGUGAGUGAUGAAGGCCCUAGGGUUGUAAAGCUCUUUCAGUGGGGACGAUAAUGACGGUACCCACAGAAGAAGCCCCGGCUAACUUCGUGCCAGCCGCCGCCGUAA